This 429-nucleotide ribosomal RNA is filed under the name Actinomycetes bacterium. Its description in RNAcentral is "Actinobacteria bacterium partial 16S ribosomal RNA". It matches the Rfam family "Bacterial small subunit ribosomal RNA", at positions 355 to 776 of the family's 1533-position model. The record is from RNAcentral. Lineage: Bacteria; Bacillati; Actinomycetota; Actinomycetes.
UAGGGAAUCUUCCGCAAUGGGCGAAAGCCUGACGGAGCAACGCCGCGUGAGUGAUGAGGGUCUUCGGAUCGUAAAACUCUGUUAUUAGGGAAGAACAAAUGUGUAAGUAACUAUGCACGUCUUGACGGUACCUAAUCAGAAAGCCACGGCUAACUACGUGCCAGCAGCCGCGGUAAUACGUAGGUGGCAAGCGUUAUCCGGAAUUAUUGGGCGUAAAGCGCGCGUAGGCGGUUUUUUAAGUCUGAUGUGAAAGCCCACGGCUCAACCGUGGAGGGUCAUUGGAAACUGGAAAACUUGAGUGCAGAAGAGGAAAGUGGAAUUCCAUGUGUAGCGGUGAAAUGCGCAGAGAUAUGGAGGAACACCAGUGGCGAAGGCGACUUUCUGGUCUGUAACUGACGCUGAUGUGCGAAAGCGUGGGGAUCAAACAGG